This 841-nucleotide ribosomal RNA is filed under the name Halobyssothecium versicolor. RNAcentral's name for it is "partial large subunit ribosomal RNA". It matches the Rfam family "Eukaryotic large subunit ribosomal RNA", at positions 77 to 930 of the family's 3401-position model. Lineage: Eukaryota; Fungi; Ascomycota; Dothideomycetes; Pleosporales; Lentitheciaceae. The record is from RNAcentral.
GCCUUAGUAACGGCGAGUGAAGCGGCAACAGCUCAAAUUUGAAAUCUGGCCUCCCCUGGUGGCCCGAGUUGUAAUUUGCAGAGGGUGCUUUGGCGUCGGCAGCGGUCUAAGUUCCUUGGAACAGGACAUCGCAGAGGGUGAGAAUCCCGUACGUGGUCGCCUGCCUUCGCCGUGUAAAGCCCCUUCGACGAGUCGAGUUGUUUGGGAAUGCAGCUCUAAAUGGGAGGUAAAUUUCUUCUAAAGCUAAAUACCGGCCAGAGACCGAUAGCGCACAAGUAGAGUGAUCGAAAGAUGAAAAGCACUUUGGAAAGAGAGUCAAACAGCACGUGAAAUUGUUGAAAGGGAAGCGCUUGCAGCCAGACUUGCCCGUAGUUGCUCAUCGGAACACUUGCUCCGAGCACUCUUCUGCGGGCAGGCCAGCAUCAGUUUGGGCGACCGGAUAAAGGCCUCUGUCAUGUAUCUUCCUUCGGGAUGACCUUAUAGGGGAGGCGUAAUGCGGCCAGCCCGGACUGAGGUCCGCGCUUCGGCUAGGAUGCUGGCGUAAUGGCUGUAAGCGGCCCGUCUUGAAACACGGACCAAGGAGUCUAACAUCUAUGCGAGUGUUUGGGUGUCAAGCCCGGGCGCGUAAUGAAAGUGAACGGAGGUGGGAACCCUCUCCUGGGGGUGCACCAUCGACCGAUCCUGAUGUCUUCGGAUGGAUUUGAGUAAGAGCAUAGCUGUUGGGACCCGAAAGAUGGUGAACUAUGCUUGAAUAGGGUGAAGCCAGAGGAAACUCUGGUGGAGSYUCGCAGCGGUUCUGACGUGCAAAUCGAUCGUCAAAUUUGGGCAUAGGGGCGAAAGA